UUAAAUUGAAGAGUUUGAUCAUGGCUCAGAUUGAACGCUGGCGGCAGGCUUAACACAUGCAAGUCGAACGGUAACAUGAGUGCUUGCACUUGAUGACGAGUGGCGGACGGGUGAGUAAUGUAUGGGGAUCUGCCGAGUGGCGAGGGACAACAGUUGGAAACGACUGCUAAUACCUCAUAAAGUUGAGAAACCAAAGCAUGGGACCUUCGGGCCAUGUGCCAUUUGAUGAACCCAUAUGGGAUUAGCUGGUUGGUGAGGUAAGGGCUCACCAAGGCGACGAUCUCUAGCUGGUCUGAGAGGAUGACCAGCCACACUGGAACUGAGACACGGUCCAGACUCCUACGGGAGGCAGCAGUGGGGAAUAUUGCACAAUGGGGGAAACCCUGAUGCAGCCAUGCCGCGUGUAUGAAGAAGGCCUUCGGGUUGUAAAGUACUUUCGGUAAUGAGGAAGGUGGUGUAUCUAAUAGGUGCGCCAAUUGACGUUAAUUACAGAAGAAGCACCGGCUAACUCCGUGCCAGCAGCCGCGGUAAUACGGAGGGUGCGAGCGUUAAUCGGAAUGACUGGGCGUAAAGGGCAUGUAGGCGGAUGAUUAAGUUAGGUGUGAAAGCCCUGGGCUUAACCUAGGAAUUGCACUUAAAACUGGUCAUCUGGAGUAUUGUAGAGGAAGGUAGAAUUCCACGUGUAGCGGUGAAAUGCGUAGAGAUGUGGAGGAAUACCGGUGGCGAAGGCGGCCUUCUGGACAGAUACUGACGCUGAGAUGCGAAAGCGUGGGGAGCAAACAGGAUUAGAUACCCUGGUAGUCCACGCUGUAAACGAUGUCGAUUUGGAGUUUGUUGCCUAGAGUGAUGGGCUCCGAAGCUAACGCGAUAAAUCGACCGCCUGGGGAGUACGGCCGCAAGGUUAAAACUCAA
Molecule: ribosomal RNA, 912 nt
Filed under: Gilliamella sp. wkB112
Lineage: Bacteria; Pseudomonadati; Pseudomonadota; Gammaproteobacteria; Orbales; Orbaceae
Description: bacterial SSU rRNA
Rfam family: Bacterial small subunit ribosomal RNA
Source: RNAcentral